CGCGGGAUGGAGCAGUCUGGUAGCUCGUCGGGCUCAUAACCCGAAGGUCGUCGGCUCAUUCUCUUCAAAAAUAAGCAGCUCCCGCAACCA
RNAcentral lists this transfer RNA (90 nucleotides) under Marinomonas mediterranea MMB-1. RNAcentral's name for it is "tRNA-fMet (CAT) (tRNA-fMet-CAT-4-1)". The record is from RNAcentral. Lineage: Bacteria; Pseudomonadati; Pseudomonadota; Gammaproteobacteria; Oceanospirillales; Oceanospirillaceae.